This 269-nucleotide ribosomal RNA is filed under the name Clostridioides difficile. RNAcentral's name for it is "partial 23S ribosomal RNA". It matches the Rfam family "Bacterial large subunit ribosomal RNA", at positions 1638 to 1918 of the family's 2925-position model. The record is from RNAcentral. Lineage: Bacteria; Bacillati; Bacillota; Clostridia; Peptostreptococcales; Peptostreptococcaceae.
GUACCCGUACCGCAAACCGACACAGGUGGGUGAGGAGAGUAUCCUAAGGCCAGCGAGAGAACUGUUGUUAAGGAACUCGGCAAAAUGACCCCGUAACUUAGGGAUAAGGGGUGCCACCAUCAGGUGGCCGCAGGGAAUAGGCCCAAGCGACUGUUUACCAAAAACAUAGGUUUCUGCUAAGUCGCAAGACGAUGUAUAGGAGCUGACGCCUGCCCGGUGCUGGAAGGUUAAGGGGAUCUGUUAGAGCAAUCGAAGCAGUGAACUUAAGC